RNAcentral lists this long non-coding RNA (414 nucleotides) under Mustela putorius furo (domestic ferret). Its description in RNAcentral is "lncRNA (ENSMPUG00000028065.1)". The record is from RNAcentral. Lineage: Eukaryota; Metazoa; Chordata; Mammalia; Carnivora; Mustelidae.
CAAAGGUCAGAUGCUGCGGCUGGUUCCCAGCCUUCCCCAGAGGCCCCACCCGCCUGAGGCCGCUCCUUCCACAGACAGGUUCCUGGAUCCUGGCGCAAGGACGGAGCGCGGCCGCCGGAGCAAACUGGCAAGUUUACUUCUCGGCCAUGAAGACCCCCAGACUGUCUCCGGGGCUACCUUGGACAUCCACAGUACAUGACUGCUGGCUUUCCAUUCAAACUGUGCUCUGGAAAACCCAGAUUUAGGUCACAGAGAAAAAUCGCCACACUUCCAAUAAAGCACUCUGACAGAUACGAAACACUCCCGAAAUGCUGGUUAGCACCAUUUUGCUCUUCCUUGUGUAAAUCAGCACAGUCACGGGCGCCAUUAUAAAUUGCCUCUUGUUGUGCAUCAAUAAACUUUACAAGAUAAUGG